This is a non-coding RNA of Termitomyces sp. Mi166#008, 102 nucleotides long. The record is from the annotation of a GenBank genome assembly. Lineage: Eukaryota; Fungi; Basidiomycota; Agaricomycetes; Agaricales; Lyophyllaceae.
GCCAAUGUGGCUUAAUGGUAGAGCAUUACUUUCUUAUCAUCUUCUGACCAGAUAUGAGAUAGCUAUAGGUGAAGGUUGUGGGUUCAAUCCCUGUUGUUGAUU